UACGUAGGGUGCGAGCGUUAAUCGGAAUUACUGGGCGUAAAGCGUGCGCAGGCGGUUGUGUAAGACAGGUGUGAAAUCCCCGGGCUUAACCUGGGAAUGGCAUUUUGAACUGGCAGUCUAGAGUGCGUCAGAGGGGGGUGGAAUUCCACGUGUAGCAGUGAAAUGCGUAGAGAUGUGGAGGAACACCAAUGGCGAAGGCAGCCCCUGGGAUGACACUGACGCUCAUGUACGAAAGCGUGGGUAGCAAACAGGAUUAGAUACCCGGGUAGU
Molecule: ribosomal RNA, 270 nt
Filed under: uncultured bacterium
Lineage: Bacteria
Description: partial 16S ribosomal RNA
Rfam family: Bacterial small subunit ribosomal RNA
Source: RNAcentral